UUACAACACUUUAGUGCACAAAAAUGGAC
Molecule: small RNA, 29 nt
Filed under: Bombyx mori (domestic silkworm)
Lineage: Eukaryota; Metazoa; Arthropoda; Insecta; Lepidoptera; Bombycidae
Description: ovarian small RNA-9302
Source: RNAcentral